Mauremys reevesii (Reeves's turtle) is the source of this 154-nucleotide long non-coding RNA. RefSeq lists it as uncharacterized. The record is from RefSeq and is a predicted model, not a curated record. NCBI's taxonomy places the organism in Eukaryota, Metazoa, Chordata, Testudines, Geoemydidae. The transcript has 3 exons.
CCCAGGGCUGCGGCGGAAGGAGGGUGAAGAUGAAUCAAAAGCUGUGCUUUUAACCAUGGGACUCAUUCUGAGCUGACUUGCACCUAUAUCAGGAAUCCAGUCAAUGAAUCCGAACCCAGACUGCAGAACGAUUCUGAGGAGAUGAUGAAGCCAG